CUUCUUGUAUCAUUGUGUUACACAUAGUCUUGGUAUUUAUGCGCCUCAUGAUAGUGUUGAGUCCGAAACAGAGAGUUUCUUGGUUCCAAAUCUUCCUGAAAAGAUUGAGAUGAAAAGAUGUCAGCUGCAAGAGCAUGUUAAGAUUAAAACAAGGUAUGGUGAAUUGAUCAAAGCAAUUAAAGAGUCUGAGCAGAAGAGCUAUGGUUUGGUUCAUCACACUUUUUAUGAGCUUGAGCCUGCUUAUGCAGAUCAUUAUGGUGAAAUCAAGAAAAGUAAGUUCUGGCACAUUGGUCCCAUUUUUCAGUUCUUCAAAAAGGCUGAAACUGAAAGAUCUAGUGGCUCUCCAUCUGAGCAACACUUUUGUUUGAGUUGGUUAGAUUCACAAAAGUCUGAAUCUGUUGUCUUCAUAUGUUUUGGAAGUAUGGUCAGAUUCUCUGAUGCUCAGCUUACUGAGAUCGCAUUAGCCCUCGAGGCCUCCAACACUCAGUUCAUUUGGGUAGUCCGCAAAAUGAUUGAAAAUCAAGAAAAUCAAGAAACGUGGUUGC
Molecule: long non-coding RNA, 545 nt
Filed under: Daucus carota (carrot)
Lineage: Eukaryota; Viridiplantae; Streptophyta; Magnoliopsida; Apiales; Apiaceae
Description: long non-coding RNA (DCAR_LNC001674)
Source: RNAcentral